GACCCAGUGGCGGAAGGUCCGCAUCUGCCUUGCAUAUUGUAUCCAGUUUGGUCGUUGAACGUUGAACAGCAGAAGGCGCCCGUUCGACUCGGGCCUGGGUCG
Non-coding RNA from Mycena latifolia, 102 nucleotides. NCBI's taxonomy places the organism in Eukaryota, Fungi, Basidiomycota, Agaricomycetes, Agaricales, Mycenaceae. The record is from the annotation of a GenBank genome assembly.